GGUAAUGCCGGAUGCUCCGACUCCUCGCAUGGGGUGUCGGGAAAGAUUUCAUCGGUAUGGGAUGGGGUCGCGUCCUAUCAGGUAGUCGGCGGGGUAACGGCCCACCGAGCCUACGACGGGUAGCCGGCCUGAGAGGGCGACCGGCCACAUUGGGACUGAGAUACGGCCCAGACUCCUACGGGAGGCAGCAGUGGGGAAUAUUGCACAAUGGGCGCAAGCCUGAUGCAGCGACGCCGCGUGCGGGAUGACGGCCUUCGGGUUGUAAACCGCUUUUGAUCGGGAGCAAGCCUUCGGGUGAGUGUACCUUUCGAAUAAGCACCGGCUAACUACGUGCCAGCAGCCGCGGUAAUACGUAGGGUGCAAGCGUUAUCCGGAAUUAUUGGGCGUAAAGGGCUCGUAGGCGGUUCGUCGCGUCCGGUGUGAAAGUCCAUCGCUUAACGGUGGAUCUGCGCCGGGUACGGGCGGGCUGGAGUGCGGUAGGGGAGACUGGAAUUCCCGGUGUAACGGUGGAAUGUGUAGAUAUCG
Molecule: ribosomal RNA, 525 nt
Filed under: Bifidobacterium pseudocatenulatum
Lineage: Bacteria; Bacillati; Actinomycetota; Actinomycetes; Bifidobacteriales; Bifidobacteriaceae
Description: bacterial SSU rRNA
Rfam family: Bacterial small subunit ribosomal RNA
Source: RNAcentral